AGCGGGAUAGCUGGGUCAAAUGGUGGUUCCAUUCAAAGUUUUCUAAGGGAUAUCCAUACUGCUUUCCAAAAUAGUUGCACCAAUUUUCAGUCCCACCAGCAAU
RNAcentral lists this microRNA precursor (103 nucleotides) under Marmota monax (woodchuck). Lineage: Eukaryota; Metazoa; Chordata; Mammalia; Rodentia; Sciuridae. The record is from RNAcentral.